AUUGUACAUGCCCUUAACCUCCCAACCACGGCACCUCCGUUAUCCCAUCCGCUCUCUCGCGGUCUGUGCUCCACUCCACUCCGCCCCCCAUCCCACCCCCGCCCACGCCGCCGCCAUGGUCGCGCUCGCCUCCCUCUCUUCUCUGUGCCUCUGCGGCUCCGCUCGCCGCCGUUCUGCCUCCGCACCCACCUCCAUAUCAUGCUGUGUGCUCGCAACUCCCUCCGGCAGAGGGUCUCAUGAAUCUAGAAUACCCCGUAGAAGGUUCCGGAGAACCGAGGGUGCUACUAAGAGCAUGGAAGAUUCAGUCAAGCGAAAGAUGGAGCAGUUCUACGAAGGGGUGGAUGGUCCGCCCCUCCGGGUCCUCCCAAUCGGCGGCCUUGGGGAAAUCGCUACGACGAGUUUGGUGUGCAAAAGAUUAUUCCCGACACAACUUUCAUCAAGAAAUGGAGCCACAAAAUUGAAGCAGUUAUUAUUACACAUGGCCAUGAAGAUCACAUCGGUUAUUCCUGCACUGGAUUCGACCACACCUAUUUUUGCGUCAUCUUUUACGAUGGAGCUCAUAAAGAAGCGUUUGAAGGAGUUUGGGAUUUUUCUCUCAUCCAGGCUAAAGAGUUUUAGAGUUAGAAAUAGGUUUCAGGCUGGUCCAUUUGAAGUGGAACCUAUCCGUGUAACUCAUUCAAUUCCUGACUGCUGUGGAUUAGUGCUUCGUUGUGGUGAUGGCACAAUUUUCCAUACUGGUGACUGGAAAAUUGAUGAAUCACCAGUGGAUGGGAGAAUAUUCGACCGAGAAGCAUUGGAGGAGCUCUCGAAAGAAGGUGUUACUCUGAUGAUGAGCGACUCAACAAAUAUUCUGUCCCCUGGAAGAUCCACCAGUGAAUCUGUUGUCGCUAGUUCAUUGUUGCGUCAUGUUUCAGAAGCAAAAGGGAGAAGAGUAAUUACAACACAAUUUGCUUCAAAUAUACAUCGCAUUGGGAGCAUCAAAGCUGCUGCAGACUUAACUGGUCGAAGGCUGGUCUUUGUUGGAAUGUCACUGCGGACGUACCUUGAGGCUGCUUUUAGGGAUGGAAAGGCACCACUGGAUCCAUCAACCUUGGUUAAGGCAGAGGACAUGGAUGCAUAUGACCCUAAAAAUCUUUUAGUCGUUACUACAGGUUCACAGGCAGAGCCACGUGCGGCUCUGAAUCUCGCAUCUUAUGGUGGGAGCCAUGCUCUUAAACUAUCCAAAGAGGACGUCCUUCUUUAUUCAGCUAAGGUUAUCCCUGGAAACGAGUCCCGGGUAAUGAAGAUGUUAAAUCGCCUCACCGACCUUGGCCCCAAAAUUGUUAUGGGUAAAGAUGCUGGCCUCCAUACAUCUGGGCAUGCUUAUCACGAUGAACUGGAGGAAGUUCUACAGAUUGUUAAACCGCAGCAUUUCUUGCCUGUUCAUGGGGAACUCUUGUUUCUCAAAGAACAUGAAUUGCUAGGAAGGUCAACUGGCAUAAAGCACACUACUGUAAUUAAAAAUGGGGAGAUGCUUGGUGUAUCUCAUCUAAGAAACAGAAAGGUUUUGUCAAAUGGGUUUGUUUCUUUAGGGAAGCAGGACUUUAAGUUAAUGUAUACUGACGGAGACAAAGCUUUUGGAACGUCCACUGAUCUCUGCAUCGAUGAGAGAUUCAGGAUCGCAUCUGAUGGCAUUAUCUUUGUCAGCAUGGAGAUCUUCCGACCUAAACCUGCUUCACCACAGUCUGGCUUGAAAGGGAAAUUUAAAAUAACAACACGGUGUCUAUGGCUUGAUAAUGGGAGACUACUUGAUGCACUUUACAAGGCUGCGCAUGCAGCAUUGUCAAGCUGUCCUUUGAAUUGCCCACUUAGUCACAUGGAGCGAAUGGUAUCUGAAAUCUUGAGGAAAAUGGUCAGAAAGUACAGUGGAAAGAGACCUGACGUCAUUGUAGUUGCUUCAGAGAACACUACAGUAGGUUUCUCAGAAGAGGUAAUAAAUAGGCAUAUGAGUCUUGUAGACUAUGAGAAAACACGGCCAGAGAACCCAGAGCGUGAGGCUGAAGAGAGCAUCCCUGAGGUCAUGAGAACAACACCUGACGAUGCAACGACUAGCUCCAAUGGUGAAUCAUUCUUCUCUCCUGAUUUACAUCAGCCUAAAACAUUGGAUCAUUUUUGGGAGUCGUUCAAGUCCCCUACAGCAGUAAAAAUUGCAAGAAUUGUCAAUGCUUCAGCUCAAGGGAACAAACCAAAGCUCGGCAAGAUCAGCAUAAUUGAUAAGGAUUCCAGCACGUCAGCUCCUGCUCCAGCCAAAUCUUCAAGAAAGAACAAGUGGAAGCCCGAGGAAAUUAAGAGCUUAAUACAGCUGCGUGGAGAAAUGAAUGAGAAAUUCCAAACCGUCAAAGGAAGAAUGGUUAUGUGGGAAGAGAUAUCUGGUAGCCUGUUGAAGCAGGGGAUAACUCGUACACCAGCACAGUGCAAAUCUGUGUGGACAUCAUUGCUUCAGAAAUACGAGGAGAGCAAGAAGGAUGAAGAAAACAUGCGGACAUGGCAAUAUUUUUCGGCCAUGGAUAGUUUUUUAUCAUGCGAAGGGGAAAUGGCAACCAAAUGAAACAGAUCCGUAAUAAAUUGCUUAGUGAUAGUUAUUUGGAGAUCAGUGUAUUGUAAGGUAGUCCGCGAAUCAACAAGAAGAUUGUUAGAAGGGAGAGAGGGAUUGGUGGAAUAGUCCGUUGUUGUAUUGCUUGAGCCUCGUGGGCAUAUAUAUAUAGGAGUACAAUCAUCUAUUUGGAGUAUAAGACAAGCCAGAACAAAUCCUAGUCUAUCUCGUCUUUUUUAAUAAACAUUAUACUCAACA
RNAcentral lists this ribosomal RNA (2830 nucleotides) under Triticum aestivum (bread wheat). RNAcentral describes it as "partial small subunit ribosomal RNA". The record is from RNAcentral. Lineage: Eukaryota; Viridiplantae; Streptophyta; Magnoliopsida; Poales; Poaceae.